CCUACGGGGGGCAGCAGUGAGGAAUAUUGGUCAAUGGGCGGGAGCCUGAACCAGCCAAGCCGCGUGAGGGAAGAAGGUACAGCGGAUCGUAAACCUCUUUUGUCAGGGAACAAAGGCGGGGACGCGUGCCCGGAUGAGGGUACCUGAAGAAAAAGCCUCGGCUAACUCCGUGCCAGCAGCCGCGGUAAUACGGAGGAUGCGAGCGUUAUCCGGGGUUAUUGGGGUUAAAGGGGUCGUAGGCGGGCUGUUAAGUCAGCGGUAAAAGGCCGGGGCUCAACCCCGGCCGGCCGGUGAAACUGGGGGUCUGGAGUUGGAGAGAAGUAUGCGGAAUGCGCGGUGUAGCGGUGAAAUGCAUAGAUAUCGCGCAGAACUCCGAUUGCGAAGGCAGCAUACCGGCUCCACACUGACGCUGAGGCACGAAAGCGUGGGCAUCGAACAGGAUUAGAUACCCGAGUAGUC
This 459-nucleotide ribosomal RNA is filed under the name uncultured bacterium. Its description in RNAcentral is "partial 16S ribosomal RNA". It matches the Rfam family "Bacterial small subunit ribosomal RNA", at positions 338 to 795 of the family's 1533-position model. The record is from RNAcentral.